AUACUGGUCUGUGACUGAAGAGGAGGUAGGCUCUUAGUAUUUUUUCAGUGACAUUUUAAUAUGUAAUACAACUAGACACUACAGUAGUAAAUAUAUCAUUCAUAGGCGUGUGAGGGAGCUGAAUAGCAGUAACACAAAGAAGUUUCUGGAAGAAAGAAAACGGUUGGCAAUGAAGCAAUCAAAGGAAAUGGAUCAGUUGAAGAAAGUCCAACUUGAGCAUGUAGAAAUUUUGGAGAAACAAAAUGAGCAGCUUUUGAAAUCCUGCCAUGCUGUCUCUCAAUUUCAAGGCCAAGGAGAUGCAGCAGAUGGUGAAGCUAGAGGCAGAGAUGGACCGCAGGCCUGCAACAGUGGUAUAAAGCUCCAAUGCACAAACUGAAAUCUGAGGCCAUCUGAUUUUUAUUUAUUAUUAUUUGGUCUUUGCAAUGAUAAUUCACCGAAGAUUGGAAGAUGGGAUCUCUUUUGCUUAGUGUCAAGUAGCAAAUCUAGGCUGAAGAGCUUGGAUUUUGGGGGGGGG
Molecule: non-coding RNA, 514 nt
Organism: Thamnophis sirtalis
Lineage: Eukaryota; Metazoa; Chordata; Lepidosauria; Squamata; Natricidae
Source: RefSeq, a predicted model, not a curated record